This is a long non-coding RNA of Gorilla gorilla gorilla (western lowland gorilla), 3910 nucleotides long. RefSeq lists it as uncharacterized. The transcript has 4 exons. NCBI's taxonomy places the organism in Eukaryota, Metazoa, Chordata, Mammalia, Primates, Hominidae. The record is from RefSeq and is a predicted model, not a curated record.
CUCUUGCCUGCUGCCACGUAAGAGGUGACUUUGCUGCUCCUCUGCCUUCCACCAUGAUUGUGAGGCCUCCCCAGCCAUGUGGAACUAUCUUUGCAUGUUCUGUCCAGCAAGUUCUCUCUCCAUGAAGACCAUACCAUCUAAAGUGACCCCAUCUCAGUCUGUCUGUUGGUAGACCUCAUGCAAUCAAUUGAAGGCCUGAAUAAAACAAAAGACUGGCCUCCUCCCAAGCAAGAGUGAAAAUUUGACAUAUCCCCAGACUGGACUGAGUGAGCUGCUUUAGGAAGCUGUAUAUGUUUUUGGAAUUUAAUUCAAAUUUAAAUGAGGUUUCCUGCAUGUUUGGACAUUAUACCUCGGAGCCGUGGGUGCCAGAGCCCUGUCCUAUGAAUGUGUCUCUUCUGAAAAUUGCUCUAGGGAUUGGUUUUACUGAUUGGACAAAAAAUAAGUAUUUUGAACCAAUUAUAACAAAAUAGCUCAUUUCUCUUUUAUAUACAUCAUGCAAUGUCUUCACAAUCAGAUUAUGAGAUCUCUAAUUACAGAAGAGGAUUUUUAUAUUUUCCACUAGCAAACAUUUGUCCACAAAAGUUACGAAAAACAGCUGUUAUCUGGAAUGUGGCUUGAAAUAUAUCCUGUUACUCUAAAAUGGUAUUGAUAUGAUUUAUAGUUGUCCUAUUGCAGCGAUUUUAUAAGAACUCAAUCCACAGCUCUUCUAACAUGUUUUGACAGCUUUAUUGAGAUAGAAUUUACACAUUAAAAAACUGCAUGCAUUUAAUAUGUACAAUUUGAAUAUUUUUGGCAUAUCUAUGCCCAUAGGAAUUUAUCAUCUACAACCAAGAAAAUCAACAUCUCCAUCAGUCCCCUAAAUUUUCUUCUGUCCCUAUGUAAUCCCUCUUCCUACCUGCCAUCACUAGGUGGUAUGGGCUAAAUUGUGCACUGCCCAUCCCCUCCCCUCCCAUUUUAUAUGUUGAAGUCCUAAUCCCUAGCACCUCAAAACAUGACUGUGUUUGGAGACAGGCCUUCAAAGAAGUGACUAAGCUACAACAAGGCUGUUAGGAUGAACCCUAAUCUGAUCUGACUGGUGUUCCUAUAAGAAAAGAAAAUUAAGACACACAAAGAGAUACCAGGGUAUAUUUACACAUAGAGGAGACCGCGUGAGGUACAAAGAGAGAAGGCAGCCAUCUGCAAGCUAACGAAAGAAAUCUCAGAAUGAAAUCAACCAGCCAACACCUGAUUUCAGACUUCUAGCCUCUGAAACUGAGAGAAAAUAUCUGUUGUUUAAACCAUCAGUCUGUGGUACUUUCUUAGAGCAGCCCUAGCAAACUAUCAUACCAGGCAACCACUGACUAGCCUUCUGUCACUAUAGAUUAGAUUGUAUUUUCUGGAAUUUUAUAUAAAUGUACUCUUUUGGUCUGGCUUAUUUCAUUCAGUAUAAGUUAUUUGAGAUCCAUCCAUGUUGGGUUGUAUCAAUAAUUCAUUCCUUUUUAUUAUUAAUAUUUUGUUGAAUGGAUAUACCACAGUUUAUUCAUCCAUUUAUUUGUUGCUGGACAUUUAGGUUGUUUUCUGGUUGAACUGUUACAAAUCAAGCUUCUAUGGACAUUUAUUUACAAGUCUUUUAUGGAUAUGUGCUUUCUUUGAUCUUGGGUAAAUAUCCAAGGUUGGAAUGGCUGGGUCAUAUGAUAGGAGUAUGUUAAGCUCUUUAACAAACUGCUAAACUAUUUUCCAAAAUUGUACCAUUUUACAUUCCCACCAGCAGUCUUUGAGAGCUCCAGUUGCUCCGUAUCUUUGCCUAAAACUAAUAUGGUCCGUCUUUUUUAAUGUAAUUGUUCUAAUAGGUAUAUAACAGUAUGCUAUUGUGCUUUUUAAAUUUGCAUUGUAUUAUGACAGUGGUAUUGAUGAUCAUCUUUUCAUUGCUUAUUUACCAAAGUACAUCUUUUUUGGUAAAGUGUUUACAUUUUUGCAUUCUUUUUUGAGUUGUUUUUUUAUUACUGAGUUUUGGAGUUUUUAAAUAUAUUCUGAACCCAAGUUCUUAAUCAAAUAAAUGACUUGAAAAUAUACUCAGUCUGUCUUUUUAUUCUCUCACUAGAGUCUUUUAUAGAAUAGACAUUUUUCAUUUUAAUUAAGUCUAUUUAUCAAUUUAUUAUUUUAUGGAUCAUUUGGUAUUGCAUUUGGAAAAAUCUUUGCCUAACCGAAGGUCAAAAUUCUUCUCUUAAAUUUUCUUCUAGAAUUUUUAAAGUUUUAAGAUUUAAAUUUAGGUUUAUAAUCCAUUUUGAAUUGGUGUUUUUGUACUACUUUUUUUUCCUUCGCCUCUAUAUGUAGAAUCAAUUAAGGUAAUAAUAGUUUCUAUCUUAAAUGUCCUGCUAACACACUUACCUAUUUCAAUACUCAUUCUACCUUCCCAUCUCCCUGCAUUUUGGUUUUUUUUUUUUUUACAUCCUUUCACCCAGGCUUUAGCUCCCAUCUCCUUCUAAGUCCUCACGCCCUUGCUGUGUCUAUGAUACUAAUGUGAUUCAGACCAUUUCUCUCCCAGUUUCUUUCCUUCAUAUAUAUAUGCAAUUUUAAGUAUUUCUUAUUUAAAAUAAUAAUAAUAAUAAUAAUAAUGCUUUUUGAAGCUGCAUAGCUAACUACAUAACAUUUACUUGCUUUGUUCUUUUCCUAUAAAACUAUUCUCUUGAAAGAAUUACCUAUUCUCUCAUUCCUCUCUCCUCCAACCAACACUGCCAGGUUUCUGGCCCAGUCAUCGCACUGACACUAUUCUUACCAUCAACACUUGUGAUUUCCCUUUGCCACUUAUACAGAUCUCAUUUCAGCAUCCAUCACACAGGUCUCCCUGGGAGGCAUUUACACUGUGGAUCUCUGUACUGGAAGGCAUUUCCAAAGCUUGUCUGAGUCUUCCACAUUGUCUCUCCUCUUUCUCUCUGUUACUUGAGACAUGUUUUCUCCAUAUUUUCUCUUCUCAUUCUAUACAUUCCACUGGUGACCACACAGAAAAUCAAGGAAUCAAAUGCCACCUUUAAAAAAUGAAUCUCCUAAGUAGAUUUCUGGUCCAGACUUAUUUACCCAGACCAUCAACUUUCUGUUGUAUAUUUCCAAUAGCAAUGUCAAGUGCAAUACGUGACAAACAUAAUGCCAUUCUUCUUUCACCUAAACACAGGGCUCUUUCAUACUUCCUGUGGGGGUAGAUAGCACAUCAUUAACCCUGUCACCUAACCACUGUCCCCUCCAUUCCCAAUGAAAAAUAACCCAGAUAUUUCAGUUACAUCUCCUACAUAUGUCUCCAAUCUAUGCUUUCUCUUCAUAUCCACUGCUUCUCUCCUUAGUAUAUCUCAUCUAAAAUUCUGGAAUAGACUUUAUCUGCAGAUGGACCUGCAGAUUCUAAUUCUUACCCUCUCAACAUUCGACUUGUAUAUUGAUGCAUGAGUAAAGUUUCUGAAACACAAAUAUGUUUAGGGGAACCCCAUGUAGAUCAUAUAUUUAGGCAUCUCUAAUACAGAAAAAAUUGAACCCAUUCUCAUGUAAUAUUCAGAUUGUCAGUCUUUCUCUCACAUCUCAUCACUAACAACUGCUCUACACAAAAUCUGAGAUCUAGCAAUAGCUAGCUUCAUAUAGUUUCCUGAGCACGGAAUAUUGAUACAACUUCCAGGCCUCAGAUGAGUGGACAAAAUUAAACUCACAAGGCAGUAAUGGCAUUCAAUCCCUGAAAAUUUCGCUGCUCUUUCUAAAAAGGUAAAAUAUAUUCUGCCUAUUAUAAAGUAAAUGCUGAUCUUCCUAUUUUGUUUCUUUUCCUUUAUGCUAAUGGAAAAUAACUUUAUGAUUUAAAAUAUAAUUUAUUGUACUUAUAAUAAUUUGUUUUGACUUGAUGGUUAAUGCUUGGGCAUAACUUAAAAUUAAAAUAAAAUGUAUAAAUGUAAAAGAA